This is a non-coding RNA of Cinara cedri, 225 nucleotides long. NCBI's taxonomy places the organism in Eukaryota, Metazoa, Arthropoda, Insecta, Hemiptera, Aphididae. The record is from the annotation of a GenBank genome assembly.
ACUUGAUGGAUUAAAAAUUGUAUAAAAAGUCAAAAUAAUUGAAAUGACCAUGCAAUUCGAAGUGAGAGAGAGCGCAGGAAGACUAAAGACAAAGAUUUGUUGGAGUCUAACUGGGAAGAGACGGAGGAAGGAUGGAGUUAUUAAGUAAAAUAAGAUACGAAUCGGUUAGGUAUAAAAUAUUGGGAAGAAUAUACUCAAGAAAAAAAAUUUUGCUUAAAAAAAGAA